GACGAACGCUGGCGGCGUGCUUAACACAUGCAAGUCGAACGAUGAAGAAGAGAAACGCGAACUUCGGUUCAAAUUUCACUUCGGAUUAGUGGCAGACGGGUGAGUAACGCGUGAGCAACCUACCUCUUACAAAGGGAUAGCCUCGGGAAACCGUGAUUAAUACCAUAUGACACAUUCAUAAGGCAUCUUAAGAAUGUUAAAGCUACGGCGGUAAGAGAUGGGCUCGCGUCCCAUUAGCUAGUUGGUGAGGUAACGGCCCACCAAGGCGACGAUGGGUAACCGGCCUGAGAGGGUGAACGGUCACAUUGGAACUGAGACACGGUCCAAACUCCUACGGGAGGCAGCAGUGGGGAAUAUUGCACAAUGGAGGGAACUCUGAUGCAGCGACGCCGCGUGAGCGAUGAAGGAAUUCGUUACGUAAAGCUCUGUUCUAUGGGAAGAAAAGGACUGUACCAUAGGAGAAAGCCCCGGCUAAAUACGUG
Molecule: ribosomal RNA, 482 nt
Filed under: uncultured bacterium
Lineage: Bacteria
Description: partial 16S ribosomal RNA
Rfam family: Bacterial small subunit ribosomal RNA
Source: RNAcentral